RNA transcript from Salvia splendens (bonfire salvia), 2048 nucleotides. RefSeq lists it as uncharacterized. The transcript has 2 exons. The record is from RefSeq and is a predicted model, not a curated record. Lineage: Eukaryota; Viridiplantae; Streptophyta; Magnoliopsida; Lamiales; Lamiaceae.
CAUUUCUCUUUCCGUAUCUGAGAUUUCCGGAAGACGUCUGUGCAUCGGUGCGCUGGCCUGGCGCCUCCUCCGCUUCUUCCUCCUUCCCAACCACACAACCUCCGACGCCGACGCUCCUUCACCCUCCGCCGGCGACGCUGAACAUGCCUGCAUCUGUUGGUUGCUUUCCGACACCGCAAAUUCCAUGAUUUCAACAAUCUCCAGUGCUUUAGCAAUCGUGCUCCAUCCGUCGACGGUUGGGCCACGGGAAGCGGCGGAUAUAGGUUGUGCAGCGGCCAAAAGUCCAUGACUUUCUACACUUCGAUUAUGGCUGUGUGCGGCAGACUCGGUGGCAGAUUAGCUGCUGGAGUCGGUGGCAGAUUCGCCGCUGGUACCAUCUUAAAUAUGGUAAUCGAGAGAGGUAUAGCAGGAUUGGUAAGACAUAGUUUAUGUAGAGAGUAGAGAGGAAAAAGUUUGUAUUUUCUUGUGUAUUCCUAAUGUUCAUCACCCUAGUAUUUAUAGGGUGAAUGAGAAUAUUCUAGCACAUCAAUAAAUGUAAAUUGGUACUUUACAAAGCUUAGGAACUAUGCAUCACUGAACCCUCUAUAAUGAAUGUUGGGCGGCAUAUUAAUGUUGUUUCUCUUUCCAACAGAUGCCCUACAUUUUGAUAUAUGUGAAUCUGGGCAGGAGUUCAAAUAAGUGGUAGAAUUACACACUUGUAGAACGUCUCUAUUUGUGUUAUGUUGGAAUUUGAAAAUGAAAUUUCUGUGCAAAAAAUGUCUGUCGCGAAUCGUGUAGCCUUAGAUCUGGGAUUGGUUCCGGCAGUGACGGGAAAACUGAGUCGCCGAUGGUGAAGUUCAGGAAAGACGAUCGUUCACGGAGGAUAUGGACUUUACGCGAGGAAGAGAUAUUCGCAACAACCUUAGUUGAACUCGUUGCCCGGGGUUGGAAAUCAGACAAUGGGUUUCACGCUGGUUAUCUCCAGAAAAUCGAAGACAAUAUUCGCAAGGAAUUCCCCAACUCGGACAUCAAGGGUACCCUACAUGUUACUUCCAAAAUUUCUGCUUGGAAAAAGAGCUACAACAGUAUGCGAGGGAUCUUGUCACGAACUGGGGUUGGCUUCAAUCCGCAUGGGGAUUUCAAAAUUGAUUGUGAUGACGAACCGUAGGGGCAGAUUGUGAAUGUGUUAUUCCUUUACUCGCUGCUAAUGAGAACUUGAAUGCGAUUUAUGUUUAACUUGCUUGCGGACAGUUUAAUGUAUAUUCCCUCUGUGUGUAGGCUGACAAGCAUGCCAAGUUCAUGCAGAUGAAGUUUUGGCCCUUUUGGGAGACAUGGAAGAGCAUUUUUGGCAAGGACCAAGCAACCGGAUCUAUGACUGAAGACAUCGUGGAUGCUGCUGCGUGAGCGCGUCCCCAAGAAACUUUGGGAAGUGAGUGCAAUGAAAAUGAUUACCACCCUUGUAUGGACGACAUCCCGGCUGAACAGAGCACUGCACUUGGGGAACAGCCUGGGCUGCAAGACCAUAGCUCAGGUGAUGAUCAGCGCCGCACUUCUACUAUGAAAAACGGAUUGGGUAUGGAGUUUCUUGCAAACCUCCAUGCGGAGACUAACUCCCGCUUUGAGGUUAUCGCUGCUAGGAUUGGGUACGAGUUUGACUUGGGAAAGGUGCAGAGGGAGGUGUUUGAUAAACUCAGCACCAUUGAUAAACUCACAAGGUAUGAACUUUGUGACAUUUUUAGCGAGAAAUCACAACGUCUUGAGGUUUUUAUGGGUAUACCAGCAUCUGCUCAUCUUGGAUAUGUGAAAAGGUUCAUCUAACAGAACCGGAACGUUGGGUGAUUCAGCGACUGAAGUGAAGCUGUGUGGUCUACUAUAAUAUGUAUUAUAUUAUUAUGUCAAAUGUGGCAACAAGUGUGCGUUAAAAUAUGUGAAUAUUUUGGUAUACAUUGGAUCAUCCAGCUGCUUGGGGUAAGUUUUAUUUUGUGGAACGUUAACAGGUUGUGAAAGCCCCCAGCAUAUUUUGUACCCGAACUAUAUAUCAAUGAUCCAUAUUAUUAUUUUCUGUUGCC